RNAcentral lists this ribosomal RNA (450 nucleotides) under uncultured bacterium. Its description in RNAcentral is "partial 16S ribosomal RNA". It matches the Rfam family "Bacterial small subunit ribosomal RNA", at positions 354 to 796 of the family's 1533-position model. The record is from RNAcentral.
GUGGGGAAUUUUGGACAAUGGGCGCAAGCCUGAUCCAGCAAUGCCGCGUGCAGGAAGAAGGCCUUCGGGUUGUAAACUGCUUUUGUACGGAACGAAAAGGCUCUGGUUAAUACCUGGGGCUCAUGACGGUACCGUAAGAAUAAGCACCGGCUAACUACGUGCCAGCAGCCGCGGUAAUACGUAGGGUGCAAGCGUUAAUCGGAAUUACUGGGCGUAAAGCGUGCGCAGGCGGUUUUGUAAGACAGAGGUGAAAUCCCCGGGCUCAACCUGGGAAUUGCCUUUGUGACUGCAAGGCUGGAGUGCGGCAGAGGGGGAUGGAAUUCCGCGUGUAGCAGUGAAAUGCGUAGAUAUGCGGAGGAACACCGAUGGCGAAGGCAAUCCCCUGGGCCUGCACUGACGCUCAUGCACGAAAGCGUGGGGAGCAAACAGGAUUAGAUACCCCAGUAGUCC